GCGAGAUGGUGGAAGGUACGUCUGGGGACCUCUUCGUAAGGGAGAUGGCUCCCGUAAGUCAGCUCUGCUGCCGUUGGCUGGGGAGCUCUUCAGAGCAGAGAGGAUUUUCUUCUUCCUAGGAAAAGAGAGAAGAGGAAACCUGGAUACGCUCAGUGCCCAGCAAGGGGAGGGAACACAGCCCUGCCGUGUUAAUCCUCUACCCUGUAAGGGGAACAGGACGUGGUGAUCACCUCCUCCUGUGCAUCAGGGGCCUUCAGUUCUCACAGAUUUCAAAAAUGAAAUGGACCUCUCAAGUCUGAAUCCACAGCCAAAGCAGAGCUUGUUUUCUGGUGAUCCACACACGUGUGUCUACAGCCUGUUGCGUUGGUUUGCUGGGCAUCAGAGCUGCUGUCUGGGCAGCAGCACAGAUGGCUUCAUCUGCUAAAGUCUUCCACCUGCUGAAUUUGUCCUUCUUCUUCGUGAC
Chroicocephalus ridibundus (black-headed gull) is the source of this 463-nucleotide long non-coding RNA. RefSeq lists it as uncharacterized. The transcript is spliced from 3 exons. The record is from RefSeq and is a predicted model, not a curated record. NCBI's taxonomy places the organism in Eukaryota, Metazoa, Chordata, Aves, Charadriiformes, Laridae.